UACGUAGGGCGCAAGCGUUGUCCGGAAUUAUUGGGCGUAAAGAGCUCGUAGGUGGUCUGUCGCGUCUGCCGUGAAAACCCGAGGCUUAACCUCGUGGCUUGCGGUGGAUACGGGCAGACUAGAGGUAGGUAGGGGAGAAUGGAAUUCCCGGUGUAGCGGUGAAAUGCGCAGAUAUCGGGAGGAACACCGGUGGCGAAGGCGGGUCUCUGGGCAGUAACUGACGCUGAGGAACGAAAGCGUGGGUAGCGAACAGG
This 254-nucleotide ribosomal RNA is filed under the name uncultured bacterium. RNAcentral describes it as "partial 16S ribosomal RNA". It matches the Rfam family "Bacterial small subunit ribosomal RNA", at positions 524 to 776 of the family's 1533-position model. The record is from RNAcentral.